AGUCCUGAAAACCUAGAGGGAAGAGAGUCAAGGAGGAGAAAGUAACCCACAGUGCCCAAGGCUGCAGAGAGGUCAAGGGGCAUGAGGACAGAGAAAGAGCCAUUGGAUUUGGGCACUAAGAAAUCACAGGUCACUUUGGAGGGAGCAGUUGGGGUGCAAUGAGGAGACCAGAAGGCAUUGUGGUCAUUGUUCAUCCUUGGUUUUUGACAAGAACUAGCAGAAUUCAUAAACAUGGAAGUGGCACAUUUGUGGGUGAUUAAGAUUUGUGAGUGGACAUGAUCAAGGGUAUGACCAUCCUUGUGUCCAGCUAAGGUGAGGUUGAAGGUCAUGGGAAGUGAAUAGGUUGAAGAACUGGGAGGUUCAGGUGUUUGAGGGAGUAUCAAUACUUAUGUCAAGUUCCUAGAAUGGGUCUAGGCAUUUGGGGAUCCUACACAAAAUCCUCUGGCAUUCAAGGCCGUUUAUAGCCUAGUUCCCCACCCAGCCACCCGCCUUCCUAGUCUUCUAGCACUUCACUGCCCUGCCACAUUCUCUUCCAUCCAGUGGCACUGGCUCUCCUGGCUGGUCCAUGAACAAGCUACAAGGGUUUCUGGCCUCCAGCAUCUCCUCUGGCAUGCCCUUGCAGGGAUGCUCACCCUCCCUCCUGCCUUCCCUCCAGCUAAAACCCCAUUUUCUCUCCCAAUCUUUUCCCAAUUGCUCUUGGUUCGAGGGUCUUCCUUCGGCGAAUUAUUUCCUCUUUAGCCUGUUCCGGGCUCCUGGAUAUGUAUUGUGGUCUCCCCCAUUAGACUGUGAGCGGCUCAGAGGAAUGGACGUCUUUUGCGGCAGCGCUCAGCAGGACAGGAGCACCUAAGAACGCUCGAUCGAUGGGUGGAUUGCGGAGGAUGACCUCAUCCAGGAGGUCUGCUGAUUGGGCGGAGGCGUGACCUCUGCCUAGGCCUCAGCUUCCUUCUCAGUAAGAGAAGGGGUGUGGACAGCCUCGGACACCUGGACAGAAAGGGCAGAUGAGGUUCUCCGGGCCCCGCCCCCGUCCCCCCAAGGGGCGUGGCCAGGCCUCCACGCGGCUCCUCCUUUUUGCUCACCCCUCCCGCUGCCCUGACGUUAUCGCCCGCCUCUCGCGAGACUUGCGUUUGCCGCUUCUGCACGCAACGUGCUACCCGCCCGCUGUGUUCCUAACGGCUGCGGGUGAGUGAAGCUGGCCGAGGCCGAGCCCGAGGGGGCUCCGUGUUCUCGAGUCAGGGCCCACGGAGUGCCUGGGGGGCAACAGCUGUCCCUGGGCGACCCCGAGGGGGAGACCCUCCUCCAGAAGAAGCCGGGAGGAUGGAGGGGGAACGCGGCUCACGUGACCGCGGGGGCAGGACUUCCUUCUGGUGGGGUCACGUGGCCUCGGAGCGCGGCUCCCUUCUAGUCAGGGCUUUGUUUCGUGGUCCCUGGGCUUCUGCUAGGGUAAUAAUGAUUAACACCAACAUGUCUGUGUGGCGCUUUAGGCUUGAAGGGUGCUUCAUCUGCACACGGAGGGCCCGCCACGUCCUUCCCCAGAUCAUUUUACAGAUGAGGAAACUGAGGCAGACGGGGGGAAGUAACUUGCCCACGGUCACCCCGCCAGUGUCUGAGGCCGGAUUUGGACUCGGGUCUCCUUGACUCCUGGCCCGGCGCUCUGUGACUCUACUUGUCUGUCUCCCCCUCGCCUUUGCCCCAGACCCCUACCCAUACCUCGGGCUCGGGCCGGGCCUCUCGGAAAUCGGGUGUCUCAGGUCGGGGCGCCGGGGGUCUUGAGGGUGGGCUCCUCGGACACGCCCAGCCCCCCCAAUGGGGGCUGCCUUUGGGCCGGGGGCCAUGGUGUCUGGGCUGGGUUCUAGGCUGUCACAGGUGGGAGGGGCCUUAGAACAGGGGAUGUCAGAGCUGGGAGGAGCCUUGGAGCAGAGAGCAGGGGAUGGCAGUCCAGAGAGGGGACAGCCAUCACCUGAAGUCACAGAGAGGCAGAGGCAGGUAUGGAACCCAGUUCUCCUGCUUCCUGGUCCAGGGCUCCUGAAAAUGAUGGGGUUGGACUAAGGGCUCUUUAAGGUUCUUUCCAGCUGGAUUUCUAGGAGUCUGAAGGAUGACCAGAUCCCUGCCCUCAGGGAGCUUGUAUUUGGGUAAAGGAAUGAACACUGAGGCCAGGGGCCCUUUGACUUUGUUGGGGAGGGAGGGAAUGCGUUUCUCUGCCUCUGGCUCAGCUUUUUGCUUCUCCUGUCCUCGGUCCAGAUCUCCUGGUUCUCCCUAUGCCUCCUGGUCCUGGAGGGAGCACAGCGGCCUCGAGGCUUCCCCGGCUGGUCCCCCGGAUCACUAAGCAUUUAUUAAGCACCUACUGUAUGCCAAAUACUGUGCUAAUCACUGGGAAUGCAAUGAAAAGGAAAGCCACAGUCCCUGACCUUAAGAAGUUCACAGUCUGAUGGGAGAAACAACCUAGAGAGAAGGGGAGGGGGAGGAGACAGAGACAGAGAGAAGGGGAGGGAGAGAAAGAGGACUGGAAGGAUAGCUAGACUGACAGAGGCAGAGGAAUGGAAGGAUGAGAAAGAUAGAUGUAAUAGAGCAUUUCUCAUGUGCUCACUGUGUGCCGUGCUGGACUUACAAAGAAAGGUAAACAGCCCCUGACCUCAAAGAGCUCCCACUGGAAUGAGGGUGGAGAUCCCACCCCAGGGGUUUGCAGAAUGGCUAGAAGGUCAUGUUGGGGGGGGGGGAUGCACUGGCAGCUCUCUGGCUCUCUAGCUGGACCAGGAAAGGCCUCCUGCAGACGCUGGGACUGAGGAAGCCAGGAUUGCUGGGACAAGGGGGGGCUCACGUGGUGGGCACCUGCAGAUGGCUCUCUGAGAAGAUUCCACCGGUUUGCCAUCCCAACAACAGAGGGAACCUGUUUGUCUCAGCCCUGCCAGCGCUGGGCCAUGGUGCUUUUCAGGAUGUUUGCCAGCUUGAUGGGGGUUCCUGUCCUUCACAUAAACUGCACUCACUCCAACCAAGCUAGGCUGAUCACUUCAGCAAGGUCUCAAGGUAAUGCAACAAAAACGAGUUCAAAUCCUGCCUCUGGCUUACUGACUGUAUGACCCUGGGUAAGUCAUUUAACCUUUUUCUGCCUCAGUUUCUCCCUCUGUAUACUGAUAGGUUGGGGCAAGAUGACCGUUUCAGUCCUUUUCAGGGCUGGUCUGUGCCUUUGCUUACACCAUCACCUAUGCUUGGAAUGAACUCCAUGAUCCUGUCUCUCCCCCUGCUCCCAUCCCUCCCUUUCAUGCCCCACUCUGGUCCUGCCUCUUGGACCCUCCCAGGUGAAGGGAAUGUUGCCCUCCCUCUGCACAUCUCCUGUGCCCCUUUCACUCUUGGCUCUGUUGGGGUUAUUGGCUGUCAAGCUUCCUGAGGGCCAGGCUGGUAGUGUACAGUGCUGAGCUGAGGGCCCUGGGCAGAGCACCUUCCUCCUGAGGCGGGGGUCGGGGGGGGGCCAGCUCCCCAGCCCUGUGCUCUGACUCCUUCACUCUCAUGGCAGUGCCUUCUGCUGUGCUGGAAAAAAGCCCAAGACUUGGGUUCAAAUCCUAGCUGCCCAUGUGACUUGCACUGAGUCCCUUGAGCUCUCUAGGCCUCGGUGUUCUGUUCUGACAAAGGGGACUUCUCCUGGAUGUCCUCUCAAGUGUCAGGAUCGGAGGUUUAGUCCUGGAAGGAACCUUCGAGCCCCUCUAGUCUCGGCCAGUGCUUCUUAAACCUCGCGUCUCGACCCUCUGUGGGGUCGAGUAACUGAAUGUAGGGGUCUUGAAAAAUUUGGCCACAGUCCAAGGUUUCUGAAUGCUCAGGACCAAAGUUUAAUUCAGAAUCCGCCGUGUAAUGAGCCCGAGGUGUUUCUGGCGGCCUUUGCCCGUAUUGCACCUUGAGACCACCCCGCAGGCUUGGUUCUGAGCACACAGCAUGCACACUUUGCACUGCCGACGCUGCCAAAACCACCUUGGCUCAGAUUCGAGACUUUCGUGUGCUAUGAAUUAGCGUUCUUACUAUACAUACACAGUCGUCAAUUGAAUUUGGGCUUGGGAGUGGGACAGAAUUUCCAGCAAUGUCUGCAAUGGCCAUUUUGUACCUCUUAUUUAUGCGAAGCAGAGUUGUCAGCAUUGAGGAUUAUGAAGCCAUUGAUCAACUCUGAAAAAAACGGGAAGAGGCUUUGCAUCCUGCAUGAUCAGCUCUUCCACCAAGAUUUAAUGUUUUAGGAGCCAGGCAAGGCAGUGGGUGGGGGUCCCCUGCCUAGCAGCCUAAGCCUCCCAGGAGAAGAGGAGGAGGCGGUGCUGUACCCUCUGGCCAUCAUCAUGUGGUGAGGAAACAGAAGCCUAGAGAAGUUAAGUGACUGGCCCAGGGUCACCCAGCCUGACUCUGUCCGUCAUACCCUGCAGCCUCUCAACUGAAACUGCUCUCUCCAGGCUGGCCAAAGAGAGAUUUCUUUAGUGCUGGAUCCAGUGACCUUGGUUCCACGUUGGAUUCUUCCCCUUGCUACCUGGGUGACCCUGGCUUUCGAUAUGGCUAGCCUCUCCUCCCUCACCUCCUGGAUGCCCUUCUCCCAUUUCCAGGCAGCUGCUGGAGCCUGUGGAUCUGCUCAGCUCCGGUCCUUCAAGGCCACUGUGGCCCUGGGUCCUGCUCAGCCUGAGACAGCAUCUGGGUCAGCAGAGCUAGGAGCCAAGGGGCUCCAGGGCCCGAUGUCAGCACAGCUGGUGGCCUGUGGUCCUGUGACUGAUGUGUUAGCAGUCGUAUCUCCAAAGAGGGAUGGCAGGGAGACCUUGGCACUGUAUUUAGUCACCCAGCAUGCCAUUCCCUGGGCCCGCUCCGCCCUGAGCACCUCCCUACUGUCCAGUAGAGUGUAAGCUGCUUGAGGACAGGCUCUCCCUCUUGUGUCUAUCAUCUGACAGCUCCUGGCACUUAAAAAGUGAUCCAUUGAUGGGUCAGUCAUCAGACGAGGCGCUUUUUGUCCUCCCCGUCUCGGGGAAGCCCCUUCAGGACCACUGGGUGCCGGCUCAAGUUAGGCUGGAGACCUGUGGCCUCAGAGUCUGUGAGAAGGAAGCUGGUUCAAGGCUGGGCCUCUGGGGUGGGCAGCGGCCAGCCUUGGCACUGCUGGGAGAUGGGCACUGCUGGUGCCAGGGCCUGCUCACCAGCUCUCUUUCCUCUGCUCUUCAGAGUAGACGAGGACUUGGAGAAGAUCUUGAGCUUAGGGUCAGAGCCCAGACCCCAAGCCCUGCCCAGGGCCAAGCCUCAGGUGCCCGCCAAACCAGCAAUCCCCAAGAGGCCCACGAUCCCACCACCAAAGGCUGUUGCCCCAGUGGUGAGAGCGGCCCCGAGGGAGGACCAGCGGCAGGUGCGGGUCCAAGCUCUGAAUGAGCCCGGACAUCCUGAGAUUAUCCAACCCACUCACCAUUGGCACCUGGAAUGUGCACACGCUUGUGGACAACACAAAUUUCAGUAGACCUGAGAGAGCUCAGCAGGUGUCACAAAGAGCAGCUCUGAGUGAAACAAGGUUGGCAAAGGAAGGCCAGCUCACUGAAGUUGGAGCAGUGAAGGGGAGCACCAUGAGGCUGGCGUAGGUUUCAUGGUCAGAUCUGAUGUGGUCAGCCGUUUGGUAUGCCUCCCGAAAGAAGUGAAGGAGGCUCAUGACAGCGCGAUUGCCACUUGCAGAAAAGCGCCAUGCUGCCAUCAUCAGUGCCUGCACUCCCACCGUGAAGGCCCCUAAUGAGGUAAAAAUAAAAUUUUACAAAGACCUGGAGACCCUCAUCAUCAGUGUGCCGACACAGGACAAGCUUAUGAUUCUGGGUGACGCCAGAGGAGGCCGAGACUGUAAGAUGUGGCCAGGAGUCCUUGGGAGGAAUGGCGUUCAGAAGAGCACCAGCAGCAGUCUCUUACUACUGAAGACGUGUUCCUCUCACAGCCUGCUUGUCACCAACACAGUCUUCCAGCUGCCUGACCACAGCAAAAUGUCAUGGAUGCACCCUCGCAGCAAAUGGCAUUUACUAGCCUACAACAUUGUAGGAGAAGAGACAGACAGGACGUGAGAGUGAAGAAGGCGAUGUGUGGAGCAGAGUGCGGGGUGAUCGUAGAAUCAUCCGCUCCAAGCUAAACAUCCACGUUCAACACAAGCAGCAGUCCCAAGGCAGGUGCACUACCAGUAGACUUCAUGUCAAUAGAUUAGAGCGCCUCUCUGAGCCUUCACAGAGAAGAAAGAGGGGGCAGCUCGCUGGCGCAGUGGAGAGAGCACCAGCCCUGGAGUCAGGAGGACCUGAGUUCA
Non-coding RNA from Phascolarctos cinereus (koala), 6271 nucleotides. The record is from RefSeq and is a predicted model, not a curated record. Lineage: Eukaryota; Metazoa; Chordata; Mammalia; Diprotodontia; Phascolarctidae.